This 253-nucleotide ribosomal RNA is filed under the name uncultured bacterium. RNAcentral's name for it is "partial 16S ribosomal RNA". It matches the Rfam family "Bacterial small subunit ribosomal RNA", at positions 524 to 776 of the family's 1533-position model. The record is from RNAcentral.
UACGGAGGAUCCAAGCGUUAUCCGGAUUUAUUGGGCUUAAAGGGCGCGUAGGCGGCCUAUUAAGUCAGGGGUGAAAGCCGGUAGCUUAACUAUCGCAGUGCCCUUGAUACUGAUGGACUUGAAUAUACUUGAGGUAGGCGGAAUGUGACAAGUAGCGGUGAAAUGCAUAGAUAUGUCACAGAACACCAAUUGCGAAGGCAGCUUACUAAGGUAUGAUUGACGCUGAGGCACGAAAGCGUGGGGAUCAAACAGG